GGAGUCGGCCGGGCAGUCGCUGGGGGUAACCCUGGAGGAAAGUCCGGGCUCCAUUGGGCAGGGUGCCAGGUAAUUCCUGGGGGGCGUAAGCCCACGGAAAGUGCCACAGAAAAUAUACCGCCGGUCUUAAGAGACCGGUAAGGGUGAAAUGGUGCGGUAAGAGCGCACCGCACAGGUGGCGACAUCUGUGGCAGGGCAAACCCCACCCGGAGCAAGACCGAAUAGAGGAACGUUUAGUGUGCCCACAUGAGUUCCUGGGUAGGUUGCUAGAGGCGAACGGUGACGCGCGCCCAAGAUGAAUGGCUGCUCUCGACAGAACCCGGCUUAUAGGCCGACUCCUUUU
Molecule: RNase P RNA, 343 nt
Filed under: Gammaproteobacteria bacterium
Lineage: Bacteria; Pseudomonadati; Pseudomonadota; Gammaproteobacteria
Description: RNase P RNA component class A
Rfam family: Bacterial RNase P class A
About the family: Ribonuclease P (RNase P) is a ubiquitous endoribonuclease, found in archaea, bacteria and eukarya as well as chloroplasts and mitochondria. Its best characterised activity is the generation of mature 5'-ends of tRNAs by cleaving the 5'-leader elements of precursor-tRNAs.
Source: RNAcentral